This 68-nucleotide microRNA precursor is filed under the name Mesocricetus auratus (golden hamster). RNAcentral's name for it is "miRNA (ENSMAUG00000003439.1)". The record is from RNAcentral. Lineage: Eukaryota; Metazoa; Chordata; Mammalia; Rodentia; Cricetidae.
GGGCGUCGGCGGGAGCGGUGCGGAGGCGCCUGCUCGCUGCCCAACCUCUGACGUCUUGGUUCCCGCAG